CGCAUCUGUGCAUGCAGCAUAUCAAUAAGCGGAGGAAAAGAAACUAACAAGGAUUCCCCUAGUAACGGCGAGUGAAGCGGGAAGAGCUCAAAUUUGAAAUCUUAAAGGGUUUCCCUUUACGAAUUGUAGUUUAAAGAAGUGUUUUCUGUUGAGGUUUUGGUAAAAGUUCUUUGGAAUAGGACAUCAUAGAGGGUGAGAAUCCCGUAUUUGACCUUUACUUUCAACUUUGUGAUACACUUUCAAAGAGUCGGAUUGUUUGGGAAUGCAGUCCAAAAUGGGUGGUAAAUUUCAUCUAAAGCUAAAUAUUGGCGAGAGACCGAUAGCGAACAAGUACCGUGAGGGAAAGAUGAAAAGAACUUUGAAAGGAGAGUUAAACAGUACGUGAAAUCGUCAAAAGGGAAGCGUUUGACACCAGUGUUGUUUUUCUGAAAAUCAAUUAAAGAACUGUUUAUGCUAAGCUGUUUAGACUUUAUCAGCUAUCUGUUUAGUUUUGAGCUUUUCUUUAAUGCACUUUUCAGUUAACAAGUCAACAUCAAUUUCUUUUGCUGUAAAAAAGCUUGAGGAAGGUGGCUUGAGAUUCGUCCUUAAGUGUUUAUAGCCUCUUGCCUAUGCAGUCGGAGAGAUUGAGGUCUGCAGCGUAGAUCCUUCGGGGCUAAAUGCAUUUGUGCUAAGUUAUAGCAUUUUAUAGACAACUUGUUGACUAUGAUUUGUCUUGUAGCUUACUCGCUUAUGUUAUUUUACCUACGCUUAGGAUGUUGAGUCGUAGAGCACGCAG
This 775-nucleotide ribosomal RNA is filed under the name uncultured Neocallimastigales. RNAcentral describes it as "partial large subunit ribosomal RNA". It matches the Rfam family "Eukaryotic large subunit ribosomal RNA", at positions 26 to 628 of the family's 3401-position model. Lineage: Eukaryota; Fungi; Neocallimastigomycota; Neocallimastigomycetes; Neocallimastigales. The record is from RNAcentral.